RNAcentral lists this ribosomal RNA (770 nucleotides) under uncultured bacterium. Its description in RNAcentral is "bacterial SSU rRNA". It matches the Rfam family "Bacterial small subunit ribosomal RNA", at positions 8 to 796 of the family's 1533-position model. The record is from RNAcentral.
AGAGUUUGAUCCUGGCUCAGAUUGAACGCUGGCGGCAUGCCUUACACAUGCAAGUCGAACGGCAGCACGGGAGCAAUCCUGGUGGCGAGUGGCGAACGGGUGAGUAAUAUAUCGGAACGUGCCCAGUCGUGGGGGAUAACGCAGCGAAAGCUGUGCUAAUACCGCAUACGAUCUCUGGAUGAAAGCGGGGGACUCGCAAGAGCCUCGCGCGAUUGGAGCGGCCGAUAUCAGAUUAGCUAGUUGGUGGGGUAAAAGCCCACCAAGGCGACGAUCUGUAGCUGGUCUGAGAGGACGACCAGCCACACUGGAACUGAGACACGGUCCAGACUCCUACGGGAGGCAGCAGUGGGGAAUAUUGGACAAUGGGCGCAAGCCUGAUCCAGCCAUGCCGCGUGAGUGAUGAAGGCCUUAGGGUUGUAAAGCUCUUUUGUACGGGAAGAUAAUGACGGUACCGUAAGAAUAAGCCCCGGCUAACUUCGUGCCAGCAGCCGCGGUAAUACGAAGGGGGCUAGCGUUGCUCGGAAUCACUGGGCGUAAAGGGUGCGUAGGCGGUCUUAUAAGCCAGAUGUGAAAGCCCACGGCUCAACCGUGGAAGUGCAUCUGGAACUGUAAGACUUGAGUACUGGAGGGGAGUGUGGAAUUCCCGGUGUAGAGGUGAAAUUCGUAGAUAUCGGGAGGAAUACCGGUGGCGAAGGCGACACUCUGGACAGAUACUGACGCUGAGGCGCGAAAGCGUGGGGAGCAAACAGGAUUAGAUACCCUGGUAGUCC